This 456-nucleotide ribosomal RNA is filed under the name uncultured Gammaproteobacteria bacterium. RNAcentral's name for it is "bacterial SSU rRNA". The stretch from base 48 to 456 matches the Rfam family "Bacterial small subunit ribosomal RNA", at positions 1 to 406 of the family's 1533-position model. The record is from RNAcentral. Lineage: Bacteria; Pseudomonadati; Pseudomonadota; Gammaproteobacteria.
GUUGGGAGCUCUCCCAUAUGGUCGACCUGCAGGCGGCCGCGAAUUCACUAGUGAUUAGUUUGAUCAUGGCUCAGGGUGAACGUUGGUAGUGUGCUUAACACAUGCAAGUCGAGCGGAAGAUGAUAGCAAUAUUAUCUUUAGCGGCGUACGGGUGAGUAAUGCUUAUUUGAUCUGCCAAUUAGUGGGGGAUAGCCAUGAGAAAUCGUGGGUAAUACCGCAUUUGUUGCGUAUUCGUUUACGUAAUGAAAGGAGGUCUUUAGACCUUCGCUAGUUGAUGAGAAUAAGUCGUAUUAGCUAUUGGGUGUGGGUAAAUCCCACCUAGGCAAUGAUGCGUAGCUGGUUUGAGAGAAUGAACGGCCACAGGGGAACUGAGACACGGUCCCCACUCCUACGGGAGGCAGCAGUGAGGAAUAUUCGGCAACGUGGGCAACCAUGGCCGAGCGACACUACGUGAAG